UAGAGAGACAACUCUCAACGGAAGUUACUGUUGACGCUAAGGCAGCCAUAUCUGAUAAUGGCAACGGAAGUUUCCUCGCCUCCGGUCUCCUGUGUGACGUAAUUUUCCCUUCGCCCAAUCUUAUAGUUGCCCUGGGCAACAGUUGAGCCGUCAGGGAAGACACGCAUCUGUGGACAAGAGUUUACGGCGCCGAAAAUCCCUGUCCUGCCCGGAAGUUGCGUUUGACACUUCUGAAAGGGGUCAUGGCGGAAGCAUGGGAAUAGCUUGCGCCCCCCUUUCCCCAGGGAGUACCCAUUCCGACAGGAGUCGCAAAGUGAGUUUAUAUUCAGAAAUCUAACGUAUGUGAAAGAUCAUCUAUCAGUCAACCAUGUAAGUCUUAGGAAGAAACUGCAUCCAAGAAUUCAGAUAUGGCAGAAGUGAAGUCAAUGUUCCGGGAAGUUCUUCCAAAACAAGGGCAGUUGUCUGUGGAAGAUAUAACCACAAUGGUGCUGUGUAAACCCAAACUUUUACCCUUAAAAUCUCUGACUCUGGAAAAACUGGAGAAAAUGCAGCAAGCAGCACAGGAUACAAUUCGCCAACAAGAAGUGACAGAAAAGGAACAGCAGCAAAUAACUCAAUGAAUGGUAACUUAGCACUUCUACAGAACACCCUACCUCUAACUAUUAACAACAGCUAGAAAGCAAUCUACAUCUGUAUGCUGAAAGCAGUUAUGUGUUAAUAAAACAGAUACAGUAUUUGAAUUUAAACACUCUGGUUUGUAUUGAAUAUAAACAAUGAAAAAACUCUGAAACCGGAUUCUGAGUUUAACCCAAGUUCUUAGAACUGCAAAUUAAAUUACUGUUUACCAUUCUGUUUUAUAGACAACAUUCUUAGGCACAAGUGACUAAAUGCAGCUUCUACAGUCAGAGAAUCCUUCACAUGUUCAUUAAAAAAUGAACUUGAAAAUGCAUUCCAGGAGUUCCUAUUGUGGCUCAGCAGUAAUGAACCUGACCAGUAUCUAUAAGGACAAAGAUUUGAUCCCUGACCUUGCUCAGUGGGUUAAGGAUCAGGCAUUGCUGUGACCUGUGGUGUAGGUCACAGACAUGGCAUGAGUCUGGCAUUGCUGUGGCAUAAGCCAGCAGCUGCAACUCAAAUUCAACCCCUAGUCUGGGAACUUCCAUGUGCCACAGGUGUGGCCUUAAAAACAAGAAAAAAAAAUAGUUCUAAUCCUGUAUAAAGUGUUUAUACUAGGCUUUUGUUUUUUUUAAUUAGAAAUUUUGUGUGUCAUGUCACAUGUAAAGCUAUUCUGCCUGACCACCUGAUCCUACUAAUGACAAAACUGUAUUUCUUCCCAUUUUUUAACUUUUUCUUUUGGCUGCCCUGCAGCCUAUGGAAUUCCUGGGCCAGGGAUCAGAUCUGAGCCACAGUUGUGACCUACACUACAGCUGUGGCAAUACAAGAUCCUUUAACCACUGUGCAGGGCUGAGGAUUGAACUUGCAUCCCAGAGCUCCAGAGAUGCCACCAAUCCUACUGAGCCACAGCAGGAACUCCCCAAAACUGUAUUUCUUAGACACAUUUGGUUUUUGAGAAAUCCUCAUCUAUUCAGUUCCCUGAGCUUUUAAUUAUAUUGAUUUUUAAAGACUUAAUUACCUUGCCACCUUUGUCUUCCAGGUAUCAAACACAAUUAAAACCCUAAAAAUGGAAAAUAACAUGGAUUUGGAAGAGCCCAUGAAAUAAAUACAAACAUUAGCUUUGAAGAUUUAAUUCUAAAAGACUGUAGCUAGAAAUGUAAUGGGUAUAUUCCAAGAAUACCUUUGUAAAUUCUGAAUAUAACUCUUGGUUGGUUUGAUGUAUUUUAGUAACAAUUCCAAUCUGCAUGAACCCUGAGACCUCGCCAAGUAAUUGGGCUCUGCAAAAGAGGUCAGAAAUGUGAUCAUUCUUUAGAUAACUGUUAUUCAUUGGUAGCUACUAUUUUCUCAGAUACUAGGUAAAUGUAAAACUUCGGGGUUUUUUUUCUUUUUGGCCUCACGGCAUACAGAAGUUCCUGGACCAGGGAUCAAAUUUGAGCUGCAGCUAUGACCUACACCACAGCUGCAGCAAAGCAAGACCCUUAACCCACUGAGCCACAGCAGAACUCCAAACUUUUGAGUCUUUGAGUAAUAGUUUUUUAUAACACAAACAUUAUUUGGUAAUAGAAUUUAAGGAUGAGGAGUUCCCUUCUCAGCUCAACAGUUAAUGAACCUGACUAGGAUCCAUGAGGUUGCAGGUUCAAUCCCUGACCUUAUUCAGUGGGUUAAGGAUCUGGCAUUGCUGUGAGCUGUGGUAUAUAGGUCGCAGACAUGUCUUAGAUCCCACGUAGCUGUGGCAGUGGCAUAGGCUGGGAGCUGUAGUUCCAAUUCAAUGCCUAGUUUGGAAACUUCCAUAUGCCAUGGGUGCAGGCCUAAAAAGCAACAAAAGAGAAAAGUAUGAAGGAAAGGUAUAUCUGUUUUAGGAAUUUUGUUUUGAGGUCCAAGACAAACAAAUCAAAAAACAAUGAAGUAGUAUAAUAUUACUUCCCAGGUAUAAUAUUAAAAGAAUUUAUUUAAUAUUGUACUCUUUAAGUUUUCAAGGAACAAAGUUUAAAUUCCCUAGGUUUAAACUGCUCCUUUAUGUGAUUUAAAAUGUAAUUGUGUGAAAAAAGUUUAAAAGACCUAAAAUAAAUGUACUCCCAAUAAAGAAUCAACACUGCUUCACAUGUUUUAUUUUGUCAUACAUUCUCUAGAACCGGGUUCAUUUUUCCAGUUUUGUAGAAAAAUAGAUGUUCCAGCCACCAUUUACUUAACUGUCUAGUCUUUAAGACCAAUCAGUAUGUUCCCUGGAAAGAUGAAUAAGUCUCAUGACUAACCCAUUUUCUUAAAAUUCUUUAAGACAAAGAAAUAACUUUUUUUUUUACUCCCAAAGCACAGUAUUUCAACAGCAGCAGCCAACAUGGGGUUUUAGCAGCUUAACUUUACCCCCUAAAUAAAGCUUUGUAUAAACCAGUGAUUUUACUACAAAAACACUGUCCUUGAAAGAAAGGAGUGGCAGUCAGACAAUGCAAAACUUGGAAUGAUUAGGUCAUAAACAUGGCACUUACAAAAGGUAGCUUAUGAGAAUAUUCCACUUAAGAAGUGGUUACUUUUCUGUCCCUCCUUUACACCCUCGGAAAAAAGAAAAAGAAAGAAAAAAAAAACACUUCCUUUAAAAAUUCCCCUUAAAUGUAAGUUUACAAAAUUUCGGAAAUGCCUUAAACCCAAAACAAGUGCUUU
Non-coding RNA from Sus scrofa (pig), 3267 nucleotides. Lineage: Eukaryota; Metazoa; Chordata; Mammalia; Artiodactyla; Suidae. The record is from RefSeq and is a predicted model, not a curated record.